Molecule: long non-coding RNA, 835 nt
Organism: Bactrocera dorsalis (oriental fruit fly)
Lineage: Eukaryota; Metazoa; Arthropoda; Insecta; Diptera; Tephritidae
Exons: 3
Source: RefSeq, a predicted model, not a curated record
AGCACUGAUAAUACGACAAAUUUGAUGGGAUACUUGCGCAACUUGCAUAAGGCGCAAUUGAUUGCAAACAGUGGCGAAAUGACUGACGCUAGCCAAAGAGAGCUAGAUUUCGCGCCAUCUACAUCAAAGGUCUGGUGAGAAUGUUUCCAAAAAAAAAAAAAAAAAACAAAUAGCAUUGAUAUCGAUGACCUCUUUCCACCGAAACUAAAAUAAAAAUAGUAAUUGUAUUUUGCAUAUAAUUUCCAAGACAAUCAAUCCAUGUGUAUCGUGGAAGACGAAGGUUUUAAAUGUCUACAUAUAGAACUCACACCGCUUUACAAGAUACCUUCUAUAAAAAAAAUUAGCAAUUUUAUUCUGCAUAGGAUUUGCAAAGACAAUCAACCCAUGCGUAUCGUGGAAGACGGAGAUUUUCACUUGAUGGUUGGAUCAGAAAUGUGAAGGCUUAUCCAACAUUGUUAAAGAGGAAAUUUCAGAAAAGAGCAAUUCACAUUAAUAACGGUUAGUUGCAAAAUCAUCAUAAUUCCAACAAUUAGAAAGACUUUUUAAAAUAAAGCCCUUGUUAGAUAGUUCAAACAAAGUUGUGUGGCAAGUAAUGAAUUGCGGGCAGAGGCCAACAAUUAAAAAAAAAAUGCUAGAAAGAUUUAUGGAAAUGCGUACUUCGAUUCAUGCAGUAGUAAAUAAACACGUAACUGCUCCAGAUAUUCCUACCGCAUAUGAUUUAAAUACAGUUGGUGACAUUAUUUCCGUUCUCCGUCCAUUAGAAGCUGCUACAAAGGAGGUCUCUGGAGACACAUACGCAACAAGUAGUAUAUCAUUCCUCUAAUUCACUGUCUCA